GGAUUAGAUACCCUGGUAGUCCACGCUGUAAACGAUGAUCACUAGGUGUUCGGUCUUUUAGGCUGAGUGCCCAAGCGAAAGCGAUAAGUGAUCCACCUGGGGAGUACGUUGGCAACAAUGAAACUCAAAGGAAUUGACGGGGGCCCGCACAAGCGGUGGAGCAUGUGGUUUAAUUCGAUGAUACGCGAGGAACCUUACCUGGGCUCGAAUGCCGCUGACAGUCGCCGAAAGGUGAUUUUCCCUUCGGGGCAGCGUGCAAGGUGCUGCAUGGUUGUCGUCAGCUCGUGUUG
Molecule: ribosomal RNA, 290 nt
Filed under: uncultured bacterium
Lineage: Bacteria
Description: partial 16S ribosomal RNA
Rfam family: Bacterial small subunit ribosomal RNA
Source: RNAcentral